CAUUCUGUAGCAAUACAGGGUGUGGGCGCGUGGCGAACGGGUGCGUAACACGUGGAUAACCUUCCUUGAGGUGGGGAAUAACCCAGUGAAAAUUGGGCUAAUACCGCAUAACAAUGCGAUGGCACAUGCUGUUGCAUUCAAAGGCGCAAGUCGCCACAAGAGGGAUCCGCGGCCGAUUAGCUAGUUGGCGAGGUAAUGGCUCACCAAGGCAUUGAUCGGUAGCCGGACUGAGAGGUUGGCCGGCCACACUGGAACUGAGACACGGUCCAGACUCCUACGGGAGGCAGCAGUGGGGAAUCUUGCACAAUGGACGAAAGUCUGAUGCAGCAACGCCGCGUGGGGGAUGAAGCUUCUCGGAGUGUAAACCCCUUUCGACCCGGAAGAAUACCCGCAAGGGUAUGACGGUACGGGUAUAAGAAGCCCCGGCUAACUACGUGCCAGCAGCCGCGGUAAUACGUAGGGGGCCAGCGUUGCUCGGAAUUACUGGGCGUAAAGGGUCCGUAGGCGGUGUAGCAAGUCGAUAGUGAAAUCUCUGGGCUUAACCCAGAGGCUGCUAACGAAACUGCUGUGCUAGAGUGUGAGAGAGGCGAGUGGAAUUACGGGUGUAGCGGUGAAAUGCGUAGAUAUCCGUAGGAACAUCCGAGGCGAAGGCGGCUCGCUGGAUCACAACUGACGCUGAGGGACGAAAGCUAGGGGAGCAAACAGGAUUAGAUACCCUGGUAGUCCUAGCCCUAAACCAUCAGGACUUGGGGUUUGCCCUGUACGGGGCAAGUCCCGUAGCUAACGCGUUAGGUCCUGCGCCUGGGGAGUACGGUCGC
RNAcentral lists this ribosomal RNA (818 nucleotides) under uncultured Bacillota bacterium. RNAcentral describes it as "bacterial SSU rRNA". It matches the Rfam family "Bacterial small subunit ribosomal RNA", at positions 70 to 889 of the family's 1533-position model. Lineage: Bacteria; Bacillati; Bacillota. The record is from RNAcentral.